GAUGAACGCUGGCGGCGUGCCUAACACAUGCAAGUCGAGCGAACAGAUGAGGGGCUUGCUGGUGUCGCGUUGGCGGCGGGCGGGUGAUAAACACGUGGAUGACCUACCUAUAAGACUGACGUAACUUCGGGAACGCUGAGCCAAUACCGGAUAAUAUAUUGAACCGCAUGGUUCAAUAGUGAACGACGGUUUUGCUGUCACUUAUAGAUGUAUCGGCGCCGCAUUAGGUAGUUGGUACGGUAACGGCUUACCAAGGCAACGAUGUGUAGCCGACCUGAGAGGACGACCGGCCACACUGGGACUGAGACACGGUCCAGACUCCUACGGGAGGCAGCAGUAGGGAAUCUUGCGCAAUGGGCGAAAGCCUGACCGAGCAACGCCGCGUGAAGGAUGAAGGUCUUCGGAUCGUAAAACUCUGUUAUUAGGGAAGAACAAAUGUGUAAGAAUCUAUGCACGUCUUGACGGUACCUUAUCAGAAAGCCACGGCUAACUACGUG
RNAcentral lists this ribosomal RNA (497 nucleotides) under uncultured bacterium. RNAcentral's name for it is "partial 16S ribosomal RNA". It matches the Rfam family "Bacterial small subunit ribosomal RNA", at positions 28 to 507 of the family's 1533-position model. The record is from RNAcentral.